GACGAACGCUGGCGGCGUGCCUAAUACAUGCAAGUCGAACGAACCGCGACUAAGUGCUUGCACUAAGUCAAGGUGAGUGGCGAACGGGUGAGUAACACGUGGGUAACCUACCUCAUAGUGGGGGAUAACAGUCGGAAACGGCUGCUAAUACCGCAUAGGACAUAGGAUCACAUGAUCCAGUGAGGAAAGGUGGCGCAAGCUAUCGCUAAGAGAUGGACCCGCGGUGCAUUAGCUAGUUGGUAGGGUAAAGGCCUACCAAGGCGAUGAUGCAUAGCCGACCUGAGAGGGUGAUCGGCCACAUUGGGACUGAGACACGGCCCAAACUCCUACGGGAGGCAGCAGUAGGGAAUCUUCCGCAAUGGACGCAAGUCUGACGGAGCAACGCCGCGUGAGUGAAGAAGGUCUUCGGAUCGUAAAGCUCUGUUGUUAGAGAAGAACAGCGCAUAGAGUAACUGCUAUGCGUGUGACAGUAUCUAACCAGAAAGCCACGGCUAACUACGUG
This 502-nucleotide ribosomal RNA is filed under the name uncultured bacterium. RNAcentral describes it as "partial 16S ribosomal RNA". It matches the Rfam family "Bacterial small subunit ribosomal RNA", at positions 28 to 507 of the family's 1533-position model. The record is from RNAcentral.